Non-coding RNA from Trichonephila inaurata madagascariensis, 74 nucleotides. The record is from the annotation of a GenBank genome assembly. Lineage: Eukaryota; Metazoa; Arthropoda; Arachnida; Araneae; Nephilidae.
GUCCCUGUAGCGCAAUGGAUAGCGCGUUGGACCUUUAAAUCCAAAGGUCGUGGGUUUGAAUUCCACCUAGGAUG